Sphingomonas sp. Root720 is the source of this 76-nucleotide small RNA. It matches the Rfam family "Makes More Granules Regulator RNA (mmgR)". From Rfam's summary of the family: SuhB later renamed mmgR (makes more granules regulator) was a putative non-coding RNA found multiple times in the Agrobacterium tumefaciens genome and related alpha-proteobacteria. Other non-coding RNAs uncovered in the same analysis include: speF, ybhL, metA, and serC. Lineage: Bacteria; Pseudomonadati; Pseudomonadota; Alphaproteobacteria; Sphingomonadales; Sphingomonadaceae. The record is from Rfam.
AGAUCGGGCCUUUCAGGCAUCCUCUCCUAAAACUUUCACGGCCGGUCCUUCGGGAUCGGCCUUUUUUUUGCCCGCU